RNAcentral lists this ribosomal RNA (253 nucleotides) under uncultured bacterium. RNAcentral describes it as "partial 16S ribosomal RNA". It matches the Rfam family "Bacterial small subunit ribosomal RNA", at positions 524 to 776 of the family's 1533-position model. The record is from RNAcentral.
UACGAAGGGGGCUAGCGUUGCUCGGAAUCACUGGGCGUAAAGCGCACGUAGGCGGACUCUUAAGUCAGGGGUGAAAUCCUGGAGCUCAACUCCAGAACUGCCUUUGAUACUGGGAGUCUUGAGUUCGGGAGAGGUGAGUGGAACUGCGAGUGUAGAGGUGAAAUUCGUAGAUAUCGGGAGGAACACCAGUGGCGAAGGCGACUACCUGGCCUGUUCUUGACGCUGAGGCGCGAAAGCUAGGGGAGCAAACGGG